Molecule: ribosomal RNA, 675 nt
Filed under: uncultured methanogenic archaeon
Lineage: Archaea; Methanobacteriati; Methanobacteriota
Description: bacterial SSU rRNA
Rfam family: Archaeal small subunit ribosomal RNA
Source: RNAcentral
UUAGCUCAGUACCGUGGAGAACGUGCCCUUAAGUGGGGGAUAAUCUCGGGAAAUUGAGGAUAAUACCCCAUAGGUCAUGGGAUCUGGAAUGACCCAUGGCUGAUAGUUCCGGCGCUUAAGGAUCGCUCUGCGGCCUAACAUGUUAGUAGUGGGUGUAACGUACCCCCUAGCCUACGACGGGUAUGGGCCUUGAGAGAGGGAGCCCAACAACAGACCCCAGAGACACGAAUCCAGGCCCUACGGGGCGCAGCAUUCUUCUUAAACUUCACACUGGGGGGAACCCCCCUGAGGGAAUUCCUAGUGCUUGGGCAUUUGUCCAAGCUUUUCCCGAGCGUAGAUUACUCGGGGAAUAAGGGCUGGGUAAGACGGGUGCCAGCCGCCGCGGUAAUACCUGCAGCCCGAGUGGUGGUCGAUUUUUAUUGAGUCUAAAGCGUUCGUAGCCGGUCCGUUAAUUCUUUGGGUAAAUCGGGAAGCUCAACUUUCCGACUUCCGAGGAGACUGGCGGACUUGGGACUGGAGAGCCAGAGUACAUUCUGGGGUAGGGUAAAUCCUGUAAUCUUAAAGACCACGGUGGCGAAUGCGUUCGCUAGACGAAUCGACGGUGAGGACGAGCCUGUCGAACGGAUAAUCUCGCAGUCAGGUAACUGCAAAAUGUGUGGGCCUACAGGGGGUCUA